AACUGCGAGUGAAGCGGGAAAAGCUCAAAUUUAAAAUCUGGCGGUCUUUGGCUGUCCGAGUUGUAAUUUAGAGAAGUGUCUUCCGCGCCGAACCGUGCAAAAGUCUCCUGGAAUGGAGCGUCAUAGAGGGUGAGAAUCCCGUCUUUGGCACGGAUGCUCGGUGCUUCUGUGAUGCGCUCUCGAAGAGUCGAGUUGUUUGGGAAUGCAGCUCAAAAUGGGUGGUGAACUCCAUCUAAAGCUAAAUAUUGGCGAGAGACCGAUAGCGAACAAGUACCGUGAGGGAAAGAUGAAAAGCACUUUGGAAAGAGAGUGAAACAGUACGUGAAAUUGUUGAAAGGGAAACGCUUGAAGUCAGUCGCGUCGACCAAGACUCAGCCUUGCCUCGGCUUGGUGUUCUUCUUGGCUGACGGGCCAGCAUCAAUUUCGUCCCUCGGAUAAUGGCAAGGGAAAGGUGGCACCCUCACGGGUGUGUUAUAGUCCCUUGUCGCAUGCGAGGGGUGGGAUUGAGGAACUCAGCACGCGCCUCUAGGUGUCGGGGCUUCGGCCC
RNAcentral lists this ribosomal RNA (547 nucleotides) under Lactifluus luminosus. RNAcentral describes it as "Lactifluus sp. 18 HL-2019 partial large subunit ribosomal RNA". It matches the Rfam family "Eukaryotic large subunit ribosomal RNA", at positions 85 to 631 of the family's 3401-position model. The record is from RNAcentral. Lineage: Eukaryota; Fungi; Basidiomycota; Agaricomycetes; Russulales; Russulaceae.